Long non-coding RNA from Gallus gallus (chicken), 4066 nucleotides. RefSeq lists it as uncharacterized. The transcript has 3 exons. NCBI's taxonomy places the organism in Eukaryota, Metazoa, Chordata, Aves, Galliformes, Phasianidae. The record is from RefSeq and is a predicted model, not a curated record.
ACAGCAGGGGGCGCCAUUUUACAGCGGAGGCCGCCAUUAGAGGGUGUAACGGACUUGAUGCUGCUCGUCCUCCUGAGGGUGAGGGAUGAGAAGGCAGAAAGCUCAGGGUGGUACAUGGCUGCAGAGGAUACACUGAGUGAGACCAUUGUCCUUCAAAAUUUUCUGGAGAUGAAGUCUUCUGGAGGAAAGCUCUGGGAAAUGUCUAUCCUUCCUGAAUGAGUACUGGCUCCACCUUCGGCUUUCAGCAGUCUGUCAGCCUGUUUGUGGGAAACAAAAAGGUUCCAAUUCUUUUGAAGAGGUAAUAUUUUUACAAUGCAGAACUGCUUUUAAUGAGCUCCGUGGAUUGGAUCCCUGGUUGUUGCACAUCACUGACAUUUGGCAAGUUGAAAUGGUCCAAUGUAAGGGUUAUAUUUGGUGAAAAAAGUGCUACAUCUCAAGAGAUCAGCCCCUCUGUUGGACUGGAUGGGAAUGUGAGGUGUUUAAACUCUGCUUCAAAGAGUAGUUCCAGUGUCUUUUCAAAGGCAGGAGACUAAGUCACAGGGGAGCCCAAUUUCCUAUUUCCAUGCAUUAAGCCAGUAGUUGACCCAGUUCAAAAUUCAAACCUCUUCAUCCCAAAUGAAUAUCCUGCUGACUAUUCCACUGUUUCGUUAUGCACCGUGAGGCAGAAGAAUCGUACUGUUGAUUUCUGUUUGGAACAUAAGUUGGCCAAAAGAGCAAUCAUAAAUUUUAGAAAACCUCGUCCUUCAUUUCUCUGCAAACUUGACUAGUGGGAUCAUUGCAAAGCAGUGAUAGUGAAGUGCUAAAUAUCAGUAACUCUUUGGCUUCUCAUACUUGAGACAUUCGGAUGCUUCUUAACAAUGCAGAUAGAUACUGAAAGCCAAUUUGAAAUUAACAUUUCUAUAAUCAAAUGACUUUAAAUAUACUGCAUCAAUUUUGUGCAUGGUUCCAAAGAGUGCAAUUUAAUGAGAUGUCUGUAGAAUUUUUACUUUUACAGACCAGUAGAGUAACGCUGAUGGACUGCAUCUGCUUCUGCUAUAUUCAUUCUAUCUGACCUACUGAAUAUUUGGCAUUAUUUUCAUGCCUUGUCGCUGUUUGUUUAGGAUAUAGAAGUGUUUUGGAACUGUUGCAUUUGAGAGGAAGGAUCAAGGCAUUUUGAGAAAGACCCAGUUUUGUCUUCACCAGUGACACGUCAUUUUCUGUUGUCACUAUGAGGUAGCAGCUUUGGAGGGCUGUGAGUAUUUGCUCCACAGCUUAUCUCUGUGAACUUGCAGUGCAUUAAAGUAUUUCUCAUACCCACUGUCAACAGUUUAUGGGCUGGUUUGGCCCAGUUCCAUGACUAAUGGGGUUUGGGGACCCAUGGAAUCACACCCCAGGAAAGGGGGAGAGGGGAAAGAGUAGGGAGACGGGCCUAAAAACAAAACAACAGCAACAAUCUGAGGAGAAGAGCUGAUUCACUAAAUACAAUAUAACACAAUAUAAUUAAAAUUGAGGCUAAUAAAUCAGAUAAAAUGAGAGAGUAUCCAAAAACUGAAGGCCAUAUUCUAAUGCUGAAGGUGAGACACCCAGGGAGCACACACACUGCAGAGAUGAGCAGAGGGGAAAAGGGCCAUCUCGUGGCAUGUGAAGAGUUUUAUCUUUCCCUCUGAACGGAAAAUGGAAACACAAAGCCCUCUGGUGGAUGUAGUUCUUCUGAGAACCAGGUACCCAGAGAUAUUGACAAUCCAUGGAACUGGAGCAUUAACUCUUUAACUCCCUAUGCACUACAUGAUGUUAUGAUGUGGAAUAACAAUAACCAAAAAUCAUAAAAACCACGACAAAUGAUGGUAGAUUUGGGUUCUGUUUAUGGGCUCUGAGAGGAAAAGCAUUGCAAAGGUAAGUGCAGAAUUUAGGCGUGUGUAUCUGAAACUGAACUCGCUCAACUACUGCAUAAUCACACAUUGCCUUCACUGUGCUUGUUUGCUUUAAAGCUGCCUACUCUAGAGCCAGCUGCCCAGUUUUGAGACAGCUAAGUAAUGUUAGUGUUUUAGUCAUUCUAGUCAGGAGCAGAGCAAUUGAAUGCUUGUACACCUGAGACCCCUCAGAACUUGAUUCUGCAGCUGCUUCCAAUGCAGACUGCAAUGCACAACAAGCUGCAUCUGGCUUUGGCCAAGCUGCUUGCUCUGGAUCUUUUUUUUUCCACUAUUGAGUUCUGGCCUAGGGGAGAUGUUCUCCCAGAGCUGUUAACAGGUUCUAGGGGAACUUCUGGUAAAGGAAGUCUGAAAUCAGAAAUGAAUUUGUUUUUAUUUGGUCCCUUAUUUGAGCUGUUUGCCUGAAACCCUGUUGUUCCACGAAGAGCUUUGUUUUGCUUGCUAGAAGGCUCUCAGAGUGGGUAGCUUCUUAUGCGUGAAUGUGGGUUGCCCUCUAGUGACCAAAAAAGCUUACUUAGAGCUGCACUGUAAGAACUGCGUCAGUAUGAAUUGUAACAGAUAAAAAAUACUGAAGCCCAUGAUAAAUUAGUUGUAACAGUCCUGCAGUAUGGCUGUCUUCAAGUGCAAAGGAAACAAAUACACUUCAACUUAGUUAAUGACUUGCUUUAAUAAUUUCAGACUGACUGGAAAUAUGUAAAAGGUGUAUCAGUCUGGUUUCCUAGUAUCUGAAAUCCAAGACUGAGCGAUGGUGGAUCCAGUUCAGAACCUCAGUGACUUCUUCAGCAGCAACAGGAAGAACCUGUUAGAUAUGUGCCCAACUACAUACAGCCCAGAGAGUGGGGGAGUGGGUUGUCUGGCUGACUCCUCCUCUUCUUGUACAAGUUCAAUGUCCUGGUAUGUAAAGACAGAUAUUUAAGACCGGAGUGUUCAGUAGUUGCACUAACCUUUCCACAUCAACACUAGAAAGAAACAGGCUCUUUUAGAACACACUUUACCUGACCUACUUCAGAAAGCUGUGUUAAAAAUUAAUCUUAUUGCCAAGUAUGUAUCUCUGCCAUCACUUUUAGUAGACAUAUUUGGCAACACGGCAUCUUCCAGUUUAUAGUAAGUGUGCAUUCAAGUAUCUGGGUUUUGUUUUUCUGAAGGUGACAGCAGGCCUAGAACGGUACAUGCACACUGUCUACAUGGUUCAAGCAAAGGGGAACACACAGGCACAGCAGCAAAAGAAGUCUCAACUAUCACCAUGUGCUGUUCUCUACGAAUGUUAGAAUUAGCACUUUCAGCCUUUAAAUACAGCAACAGAGCCAACUGAGACACCACGGUCCUGAUGCAGGACAAUGGAGUGGACAAAAAGAGGGGCACAGACAUUCAGCAUAUUGCACUGGACUGUUCCGACAAAGCUGUCAACACCCAGAGAGACAAGCUCUCCUAACUGGCACACUGUAACAGGCCAGUUCUGGAAAGCACAAGGAGGAACUCUGAAAACAGUGUUUUGCUUAUUAUUGGGGGCUUGACAGGAUUGCUGUUUUUGCUGUGCACUGUAGUCACAACACUUCUUUUGCUGAAACACAGGAAACCUCCCACUGCUUCAGCUUGCAAGGCACCCAUCAGCUACUGCAGCAGCGGUGGAACUGUGACUGCAUGAUACACACACAGCAGCACUGACAGUUCAGAACUCCAGCCAGUUUCCAGGCUGCUUGUCUUUUAGGACAUAGUUUCAUCCGGAAGCAGACUCUGAAAUCUGGCUCUUGGCUCACUCUGUUACACAGACAAUUGGCUGCUGCUCUGGUUAAAGUGCUGGUUCAUGUAUUGCUUCUAAUCAACAGCUGGUUUUGGUAAGGUUGGUACAUCGAGUUCAUUUACUGGUGAGUGACUUACUUAUAGAAUUUAAACUAGAAUGUCUUGUUAAUGCCGCACUAGAAAAAUAAUGUAUUAAUUUUCAGAUACCGGCAAUAAGAGUUUUCAAACAUGUUCAAACAGAUUUUCUUGUUUUAGAACAGUAUUACCACUUUCCUGUAUUGUACAGUAAUUGCUUACCUUCCUUUGCAGGAAUCCUUGUGUUUGGCCGGAUACCCAGCACCUGCGGAACACAUAUCUACAGCAAAUAUUGUGCUUUGUUUAACUUCUACCUGAAAUAAAGCUGAUGCUAUGGAACUUCA